UGGGGAAUAUUGCACAAUGGGCGCAAGCCUGAUGCAGCCAUGCCGCGUGUAUGAAGAAGGCCUUCGGGUUGUAAAGUACUUUCAGCGGGGAGGAAGGGAGUAAAGUUAAUACCUUUGCUCAUUGACGUUACCCGCAGAAGAAGCACCGGCUAACUCCGUGCCAGCAGCCGCGGUAAUACGGAGGGUGCAAGCGUUAAUCGGAAUUACUGGGCGUAAAGCGCACGCAGGCGGUUGAUUGAGUCAGAUGUUAAAUCCCCGGGCUUAACCCGGGAAUUGGCUCUGAAACUGGUCAGCUAAAGGACUGUAGAGGGGGGUAGAAUUCCAUGUGUAGCGGUGAAAUGCGUAGAGAUGUGGAGGAAUACCGGUGGCGAAGGCGGCCCCCUGGACAAAGACUGACGCUCAGGUGCGAAAGCGUGGGGAGCAAACAGG
This 429-nucleotide ribosomal RNA is filed under the name Chloroflexota bacterium. Its description in RNAcentral is "Chloroflexi bacterium partial 16S ribosomal RNA". It matches the Rfam family "Bacterial small subunit ribosomal RNA", at positions 355 to 776 of the family's 1533-position model. Lineage: Bacteria; Bacillati; Chloroflexota. The record is from RNAcentral.